RNAcentral lists this ribosomal RNA (460 nucleotides) under uncultured bacterium. Its description in RNAcentral is "partial 16S ribosomal RNA". It matches the Rfam family "Bacterial small subunit ribosomal RNA", at positions 338 to 795 of the family's 1533-position model. The record is from RNAcentral.
CCUACGGGUGGCAGCAGUGAGGAAUAUUGGUCAAUGGACGGAAGUCUGAACCAGCCAUGCCGCGUGCAGGAAGACGGCUCUAUGAGUUGUAAACUGCUUUUGUACGAGGGUAAACCUGAAUACGUGUAUUCAGCUGAAAGUACCGUACGAAUAAGGAUCGGCUAACUCCGUGCCAGCAGCCGCGGUAAUACGGAGGAUUCAAGCGUUAUCCGGAUUUAUUGGGUUUAAAGGGUGCGUAGGCGGGUUGAUAAGUUAGAGGUGAAAUGUCGGGGCUUAACUCCGGCACUGCCUCUGAUACUGUCGGGCUAGAGAGUAGAUGCGGUAGGCGGAAUGUAUGGUGUAGCGGUGAAAUGCUUAGAGAUCAUACAGAACACCGAUUGCGAAGGCAGCUUACCAAUCUAUAUCUGACGUUGAGGCACGAAAGCGUGGGGAGCAAACAGGAUUAGAUACCCGGGUAGUC